RNAcentral lists this ribosomal RNA (1346 nucleotides) under uncultured bacterium. RNAcentral describes it as "bacterial SSU rRNA". It matches the Rfam family "Bacterial small subunit ribosomal RNA", at positions 28 to 1381 of the family's 1533-position model. The record is from RNAcentral.
GACGAACGCUGGCGGCGUGCUUAACACAUGCAAGUCGAACGGAAAGGCCCUGCUUUUGUGGGGUGCUCGAGUGGCGAACGGGUGAGUAACACGUGAGUAACCUGCCCUUGACUUUGGGAUAACCUCAGGAAACUGGGGCUAAUACCGGAUAGGAGCUCCUGCUGCAUGGUGGGGGUUGGAAAGUUUCGGCGGUUGGGGAUGGACUCGCGGCUUAUCAGCUUGUUGGUGGGGUAGUGGCUUACCAAGGCUUUGACGGGUAGCCGGCCUGAGAGGGUGACCGGCCACAUUGGGACUGAGAUACGGCCCAGACUCCUACGGGAGGCAGCAGUGGGGAAUAUUGCACAAUGGGCGGAAGCCUGAUGCAGCAACGCCGCGUGCGGGAUGACGGCCUUCGGGUUGUAAACCGCUUUCGCCUGUGACGAAGCGUGAGUGACGGUAAUGGGUAAAGAAGCACCGGCUAACUACGUGCCAGCAGCCGCGGUGAUACGUAGGGUGCGAGCGUUGUCCGGAUUUAUUGGGCGUAAAGGGCUCGUAGGUGGUUGAUCGCGUCGGAAGUGUAAUCUUGGGGCUUAACCCUGAGCGUGCUUUCGAUACGGGUUGACUUGAGGAAGGUAGGGGAGAAUGGAAUUCCUGGUGGAGCGGUGGAAUGCGCAGAUAUCAGGAGGAACACCAGUGGCGAAGGCGGUUCUCUGGGCCUUUCCUGACGCUGAGGAGCGAAAGCGUGGGGAGCGAACAGGCUUAGAUACCCUGGUAGUCCACGCUGUAAACGGUGGGUACUAGGUGUGGGGUCCAUUCCACGGGUUCCGUGCCGUAGCUAACGCUUUAAGUACCCCGCCUGGGGAGUACGGCCGCAAGGCUAAAACUCAAAGGAAUUGACGGGGCCCCGCACAAGCGGCGGAGCAUGCGGAUUAAUUCGAUGCAACGCGUAGAACCUUACCUGGGUUUGACAUGGAUCGGGAGUGCUCAGAGAUGGGUGUGCCUCUUUUGGGGUCGGUUCACAGGUGGUGCAUGCCUGUCGUCAGCUCGUGUCGUGAGAUGUUGGGUUAAGUCCCGCAACGAGCGCAACCCUUGUUCACUGUUGCCAGCACGUUAUGGUGGGGACUCAGUGGAGACCGCCGGGGUCAACUCGGAGGAAGGUGGGGAUGACGUCAAGUCCUCAUGCCCCUUAUGUCCAGGGCUUCACGCAUGCUACAAUGGCUGGUACAGAGAGUGGCGAGCCUGUGAGGGUGAGCGAAUCUCGGAAAGCCGGUCUCAGUUCGGAUUGGGGUCUGCAACUCGACCUCAUGAAGUCGGAGUCGCUAGUAAUCGCAGAUCAGCAACGCUGCGGUGAAUACGUUCCCGGGGCU